Molecule: ribosomal RNA, 800 nt
Filed under: uncultured bacterium
Lineage: Bacteria
Description: bacterial SSU rRNA
Rfam family: Bacterial small subunit ribosomal RNA
Source: RNAcentral
AGAGUUUGAUCCUGGCUCAGAUUGAACGCUGGCGGCAUGCCUUACACAUGCAAGUCGAACGGUAACGCGGGGCAACCUGGCGACGAGUGGCGAACGGGUGAGUAAAGUAUCGGAACGUGCCCAAUAGUGGGGGAUAGCCCGGCGAAAGCCGGAUUAAUACCGCAUGAGACCUGAGGGUGAAAGCGGGGGACUCGCAAGAGCCUCGCGCUGUUGGAGCGGCCGAUAUCAGAUUAGGUAGUUGGUGGGGUAAAGGCCUACCAAGCCGACGAUCUGUAGCUGGUCUGAGAGGACGACCAGCCACACUGGGACUGAGACACGGCCCAGACUCCUACGGGAGGCAGCAGUGGGGAAUUUUGGACAAUGGGCGCAAGCCUGAUCCAGCCAUGCCGCGUGCGGGAAGAAGGCCUCCGGGUUGUAAACCGCUUUUGUCAGGGAAGAAAUCUUCUGGGCUAAUACCCCGGGAGGAUGACGGUACCUGAAGAAUAAGCACCGGCUAACUACGUGCCAGCAGCCGCGGUAAUACGUAGGGUGCGAGCGUUAAUCGGAAUUACUGGGCGUAAAGCGUGCGCAGGCGGUCUUGCAAGACAGGUGUGAAAUCCCCGGGCUUAACCUGGGAACUGCACUUGUGACUGCAAGGCUGGAGUACGGCAGAGGGGGAUGGAAUUCCGCGUGUAGCAGUGAAAUGCGUAGAUAUGCGGAGGAACACCGAUGGCGAAGGCAAUCCCCUGGGCCUGUACUGACGCUCAUGCACGAAAGCGUGGGGAGCAAACAGGGAUUAGAUACCCUGGUAGUCCACGCCC